CACACCUCGGUGUUUGCAGAGCCUCGGCUUCGGCCCCGGCGGUCCGGGAGCGGACGCCUAGCCCUGGGCCGGGCGGCCCUGAAGAGGGAAGUGCGGCUGCGGGGCCGCGGGGACUUACCUGCAGCAGCACGGCCAGCAGGAAGCACAAUGUCCUGGUGACCAGUUUUCUAUUUCUUCAUCUUCCUUCCAUGGUGGAGACAUGCCCAUUGAGGAUAAAAUAAGAACUAAGGUAGGUGAAGGAAAAAUAAAGAAGAUGAGAUUUUAGGAACAAAAUAUCUAUGACAUAAAAUGCACUAAUAGAAGUAAUAACUAAUAAAGAUAUUUGAAGUGA
Macaca mulatta (Rhesus monkey) is the source of this 331-nucleotide non-coding RNA. The record is from RefSeq and is a predicted model, not a curated record. Lineage: Eukaryota; Metazoa; Chordata; Mammalia; Primates; Cercopithecidae.